UAUGUGAUCGUCUCUCGCAUAUCAAUAAGCGGAGGAAAAGAAACUAACAAGGAUUCCCCUAGUAACGGCGAGUGAAGCGGGAAGAGCUCAAAUUUGAAAUCUUAAAGGGUUUCCCUUUACGAAUUGUAGUUUAAAGAAGUGUUUUCUGUUGAGGUUUUGGUAAAAGUUCUUUGGAAUAGGACAUCAUAGAGGGUGAGAAUCCCGUAUUUGACCUUUACUUUCAACUUUGUGAUACACUUUCAAAGAGUCGGAUUGUCUGGGAAUGCAGUCCAAAAUGGGUGGUAAAUUUCAUCUAAAGCUAAAUAUUGGCGAGAGACCGAUAGCGAACAAGUACCGUGAGGGAAAGAUGAAAAGAACUUUGAAAAGAGAGUUAAACAGUACGUGAAAUUGUCAAAAGGGAAGCGUUUGACACCAGUGUUGUUUUUCUGAAAAUCAAUUAAAGAACUGUUUAUGCUAAGUUGUUUAGACUUUAUCAGCUAUCUGUUUAGUUUUGAGCUUUUCUUUAAUGCACUUUUCAGUUAACAAGUCAACAUCAAUUUCUUUUGCUGUAAAAAAGCUUGAGGAAGGUGGCUUGAGAUUCGUCUUAAGUGUUUAUAGCCUCUUGCCUAUGCAGUCGGAGAGAUUGAGGUCUGCAGCGUAGAUCCUUCGGGGCUAAAUGCAUUUGUGCUAAGUUAUAACAUUUUAUAGACAACUUGUUGACUAUGAUUUGUCUUGUAGCUUACUCGCUUAUGUUAUUUUACCUACGCUUAGGAUGUUGAGUAGCGACAUACGCAC
This 774-nucleotide ribosomal RNA is filed under the name uncultured Neocallimastigales. RNAcentral's name for it is "partial large subunit ribosomal RNA". It matches the Rfam family "Eukaryotic large subunit ribosomal RNA", at positions 24 to 649 of the family's 3401-position model. Lineage: Eukaryota; Fungi; Neocallimastigomycota; Neocallimastigomycetes; Neocallimastigales. The record is from RNAcentral.